CAAAUGAGACAUAAUAAAUUACUAUUCUAAUCAAACCAAAUAUGAAAAAAAAUAAAAAGAGAUAAAACCAGAGUUAGUAAACAGGGAUGAAUUAACCAAAUGAGCUUCUUGGAACAGUGGCUAAGCAAUGAAGUCAAAACCUAGUCUAAGUGCAUCGAUGGGGCAGUGGGGAGCUAUUUGCAGGUAUCCCGAAAACCUUGUAAGCCCAAAGGGUAAGUUGAAGCGAACAAGUCUUUGAUGGUAAGCAACGUUUAGAUUUCAGGUUCCGAUUGUUAAAGGAAGGAGCUGCUGGUGCGUAAUAAGAAGCUCUGCUGAGGUAGUUUGAUGCCCGUUAUUGAGAAGGGAUGGAGGAAUCAAAGCUAUUCGAGACAAAAAAACGUCGUGAGUGAAACAAGAUGGAUUCUACUUCUCAUGAUGUCAAAUGGGUAUGUGCGUAUAAGUUUAGAAGCCUAGUUUAGAUAUAUGAGCUGAAAUUUCAAAUGGAUGAGUCAAAGGCUGUGACUCACAAGAAGAGGAGAGAAUGAUUGAGGUUCAAGGUCAGGGGAAAAGCUAUGGGUUCUGAUCUAUAUGGCUUUCGUUGGAGGGAUGUUGUGAAGGGGAAGAGGUAAG
This 609-nucleotide unclassified non-coding RNA is filed under the name Hevea brasiliensis (rubber tree). Lineage: Eukaryota; Viridiplantae; Streptophyta; Magnoliopsida; Malpighiales; Euphorbiaceae. The record is from RNAcentral.